Long non-coding RNA from Lagenorhynchus albirostris (white-beaked dolphin), 1367 nucleotides. RefSeq lists it as uncharacterized. NCBI's taxonomy places the organism in Eukaryota, Metazoa, Chordata, Mammalia, Artiodactyla, Delphinidae. The record is from RefSeq and is a predicted model, not a curated record. The transcript has 5 exons.
GCCUUGUUGAAACAGUUUAGUAUCAACAGGGACAGGGAAGGGGAAAAAGGAACAAACAGAGCUGUCAUAUGUCCAGCUGUCUGGUCCCAAAUCUUCGGAACCAGGUGGACCUCAAUUGAGAGCUGUUGUUCACGGCAUUUUCCUGAGUCAGGCAGACAGGGAUGCGAGGAGGCUGGCAGCUGGAUAGCUGAUGUAAAUAGAUGGGGACUGGCCUACUGAGAGGUCAUGUGCACAGCAGGCCGCUGUGGAAUGACAAAAAUGUACCACAUACCAGGUAGGAAUGCUGAAGUGCAAAGAAAGCAGCCAAGCAGCCAAGCACACAAUAACAGUGACUCCAUCAUCUUCCUGCCUAAGGCUGACUCAUAACCAUCAUCAGAGACACAACAUAUCAACAUCUCGUGGAGCAGGAAGGUCACGGUGGCCAUGUUGGGAAGUGAACCUGGUCUGUGCUUGGAGACCAUUGAUAUUUUAUCUUCCCGAUUCUCCAAAGACAGAUAGGCUUCACUGUGCUUCCUGUUCCAGUCCUGGAAGAAUGCAUUGUCCAGUUCUCGAUGCUGCACUGUGCGCGGCAUGUGGGAUCUUAGCUCCCCGGCCAGGGAUCAAACACGUGCCCUCUGCAGUGAAGGUGAAGUCUUAACCACUGGACUGCCAGGGAAGUCCCCAUAAUAACUUAAUAGUGAGCUUCAAAAUAAUUCACUUUGGCAUUAUAAGAGCAAAGAGAAACAGAAUUUAUCAUCUUGAUAUUUUGUUCUUAGUUCUCUGUGUAACUCCUGAGUACUUCAUGUUAGCUGUCAGGUAAAAUUAAUAUAAGGCAGUAUCUGCAGAGAAUGCUAUCUCUUAAACCUCUGUACUGUUGGCAGGUGAAGCUAUAAAAAAGAAGGCUGAGAGAAGAUCUCAAGAGACUUCUUAAGAAGGAAAUAUCUCCAUACUGUUUUCCAUAGUGGUUUUACCAGUUUAUAUUCCCACCAACAGUGUAUGAGGGUUCCCUUUUCUCCACAUCCUCUCCAACCUUUGUUAUUUGUCUUUUUGAUAAUUAAAAAUAGAAUCACCAUAUGAUCCAGAUCCAGCUAUUCCACUUCUGGGUAUUUAUCCAAAGAAUAUGAAAUCACUAAUUCAAAAAGAUACGUGCACCCCUGUGUUCACUGCAGCAUUAUUUACAACAGCCAAGAUAUGGAAGCAACCUAAAUGUCCAUUGAUGAAUGGAAUACUACACAGCCACAAAAAGUAGAAAUCUUGCCAUUUGUGACGAGAUGGAUGGACCUUGAGGGUAUUACGCUAUGUGAAAUAAAUCAGAUAAAGAAAGACAAAACACCAAACGAUUUCACUUAUAUGUGGAAUCUAAAAAACAAACAAAUGAAAAAAAAACA